UACGUAGGGGGCAAGCGUUGCCCGGAUUUAUUGGGCGUAAAGCGCACGCAGGCGGUCAAGUCAGUUUGGAGUGACAGGUGGUGGCUUAACUGCCACAGGCCUCCAAAGACGGCUUGACUUGAGGGCUUGAGAGGGACGCGGAAUUCCAGGUGGAGCGGUGAAAUGCGUAGAGAUCUGGAAGAACACCAAAGGCGAAGGCAGCGUCCUGGCAAGUUCCUAACGCUCAGGUGCGAAAGCUAGGGGAGCGAACGGG
This 253-nucleotide ribosomal RNA is filed under the name uncultured bacterium. RNAcentral describes it as "partial 16S ribosomal RNA". It matches the Rfam family "Bacterial small subunit ribosomal RNA", at positions 524 to 776 of the family's 1533-position model. The record is from RNAcentral.